ACAGGGAAAAGAACUGGGAAACAGUUUGUUGACUGAGGAGCUGAAGUAUUAAGUACAGAGCCACAUAUAUACUUAAAGACCCUGUGGAAAAAAAUUAAUGAACAAAAAAGAAUUGGAAGAAGAUCAUAAGCCACCGCUUAACCUCAAAGAAAACCAUAGAGGCUCUGACUUUCCAGAUGUAGAGCCCAUCGAUUCUAAUACUACCAACCCAUCUUUGCCCCAUCCUCACACAGUUGCGCUGGAGGGCAGAGAAGGCAGCACCCCAGUAGCAUGUGUACCAUGUCAGGAAAAGCAACGAGCCCAGCUAUGGGAGCACAUGGCCAUCAGCAAGAGAGACGCUGCCUCACGGACGCACCUGAGUGCUGCCUCUCCACCACAGCCACCCAGAGACUCACAAGCUGGAAGCACUCGCUCACUCCAGGAUUCAACUCUAAACUGGACAUUUCCUAGCUGAAAUAAUCACAAAACUGCAACAACAGAGCAAAAGAGAGUUUGUACCAAUAGAAUGCACAGGAAAAGGUUUUGCUGUGCUUAGCAGCUUCCGAUGUGAGGCAUCAAAAUAUGGGUUGCAGAUGGAAGAGGACACAGGGAGGUGUGAGCACCGUUCUGAUGACUCAGACCUGACUUGCUCAGGAGAGCCAGCCUGAUCGGGUCCACUUUCUUGAGGUUUGACGUCCAAUCCACCUCACUGGGUUCCAACAGAUCUCCACUUUUGGAGGAAGGAUCUUCACUCGAUCUAAGCCUAUUCCUCGGACGGGGCUGGGCUGGCUUGAAUAAUUGUGGUGCUCAUCUCAUUGGUGGUAUCACUCUGAGUGUGACAAAAUUUUAAAAAUAAUCAGAUAAACUGAAUACAACAAAUUCAAGCCAUGCUGGUAUAAACUUAGGUAAAUGUAAUAAAGGAAUCUACACGGGUUA
This 915-nucleotide long non-coding RNA is filed under the name Pongo abelii (Sumatran orangutan). RNAcentral describes it as "lincRNA". Lineage: Eukaryota; Metazoa; Chordata; Mammalia; Primates; Hominidae. The record is from RNAcentral.